Molecule: ribosomal RNA, 419 nt
Filed under: uncultured bacterium
Lineage: Bacteria
Description: bacterial SSU rRNA
Rfam family: Bacterial small subunit ribosomal RNA
Source: RNAcentral
GAAUAUUGGACAAUGCCCGCAAGGGUGAUCCAGCCAUGCCGCGUGCAGGAAGACGGCCCUAUGGGUUGUAAACUGCUUUUACACCGGAGAAAACCCCUUCUCGUGAGGAGGGCUGCUAGUAUGGUGAGAAUAAGCAUCGGCUAACUUCGUGCCAGCAGCCGCGGUAAGACGAAGGAUGCAAGCGUUAUCCGGAUUCAUUGGGUUUAAAGGGAGCGUAGGUGGCCUGGUAAGUCAGUGGUGAAAUCUCUGGGCUUAACCCAGAAAUUGCCAUUGAUACUGCAGGGCUUGAGUAUAGAUGCCGUUGGCGGAAUAUGACAUGUAGUGGUGAAAUACAUAGAGAUGUCAUAGAACACCGAUUGCGAAGGCAGCUGACGAAAAUAUAACUGACACUGAGGCUCGAAAGUGUGGGGAUCAAACAG